UAGAGUUUGAUCAUGGCUCAGAACGAACGCUGGCGGCAGGCCUAACACAUGCAAGUCGAACGACACAGUGGCAGACGGGUGAGUAACGCGUGGGAACGUACCCUUCGGUACGGAAUAGCUUCUGGAAACGGAAGGUAAUGCCGUAUACGCCCUCAGGGGGAAAGAUUUAUCGCCGAAGGAUCGGCCCGCGUUAGAUUAGCUAGUUGGUGGGGUAAUGGCCUACCAAGGCGAAGACGGAUAGGGGGCGUGAGAGCGCGACCCCCCACACUGGCACUGAGACACGGGCCAGACUCCUACGGGAGGCAGCAGUGAGGGAUAUUGCACAAUGGACGGAAGUCUGAUGCAGCGACGCCGCGUGGAUGAUGAAGGCCCUCGGGUUGUAAAAUCCUUUACAAGGGGACGAGGAAGGACGGUACCCUUGGAACAAGUGUCGGCUAACUACGUGCCAGCAGCCGCGGUAAGACGUAGGACACAAGCGUUAUCCGGAUUUACUGGGCGUAAAGCGUCUGCAGGCGGACAGGUAAGUUGGGCGUGAAAGCUCCGGGCUCAACCCGGAGAGGUCGUUCAAUACUGCGUGUCUAGAGGGUGUCAGAGGGGAGUGGAAUUUCCGGAGUAGCGGUAAAAUGCGCAGAGAUCGGAAAGAACACCAAUGGCGAAGGCAGCUCCCUGGGGCAUACCUGACGCUAAGAGACGAAAGCUAGGGGAGUGAACAGGAUUAGAGACCCUGGUAGUCCUAGCCCUAAACGAUGGAUGCUGGAUGUGGGGCCAUAGCGCUCCGUGUCGAAGCGAACGCGUUAAGCAUCCCGCCUGGGGACUACGGCGCAAGGUUAAACUCAAACGAAUUGACGGGACCCCGCACAAGCAGCGGAGCGUGUGGUUUAAUUCGAUGCUACACGAAGAACCUUACCUGGGUUUGACAUCUANGUGGUAGCGAGUGA
Molecule: ribosomal RNA, 938 nt
Filed under: uncultured bacterium
Lineage: Bacteria
Description: bacterial SSU rRNA
Rfam family: Bacterial small subunit ribosomal RNA
Source: RNAcentral